RNAcentral lists this transfer RNA (71 nucleotides) under Gasteruption parvicollarium. RNAcentral's name for it is "tRNA-Ile". The record is from RNAcentral. Lineage: Eukaryota; Metazoa; Arthropoda; Insecta; Hymenoptera; Gasteruptiidae.
AGCUAUAGAAUUAAUUUUAAUAAUUUUUUAUGAUUAUAUUAAAUUAUGAAAUAAAUAAAUAAAUAUUAAUG